This 80-nucleotide transfer RNA is filed under the name Parakontikia atrata. RNAcentral's name for it is "tRNA-Lys". Lineage: Eukaryota; Metazoa; Platyhelminthes; Tricladida; Geoplanidae. The record is from RNAcentral.
ACAUUGAAAUCUUUUGUUUAAGUAUUAAAUUCUUAAUUUAAAUCUAGGGAAAAAUCUUUUAAAAUCAUUCUCUCAAUGUU